RNAcentral lists this ribosomal RNA (253 nucleotides) under uncultured bacterium. RNAcentral's name for it is "partial 16S ribosomal RNA". It matches the Rfam family "Bacterial small subunit ribosomal RNA", at positions 524 to 776 of the family's 1533-position model. The record is from RNAcentral.
UACGUAGGGUGCGAGCGUUAAUCGGAAUUACUGGGCGUAAAGCGUGCGCAGGCGGUUUUGUAAGCCAGAUGUGAAAGCCCCGGGCUCAACCUGGGAAUGGCAUUUGGGACUGCAAGGCUUGAGUGCGGCAGAGGGGGAUGGAAUUCCGCGUGUAGCAGUGAAAUGCGUAGAUAUGCGGAGGAACACCGAUGGCGAAGGCAAUCCCCUGGACCUGUACUGACGCUCAUGCACGAAAGCGUGGGGAGCAAACAGG